GGCUGAAUGGGUUUUUCAGUGUCUGAUGAAGCAAUUCCACUUGGCUAAGGUUUCAUUCCCUAAAGUCUAGUGAUUGUCAUAAAUUGCAUAAUGCCUGGUGGCCAUAUUUUAUUUUAAUUGAUUCCAGACACCUGAAUUUGUACACCUUGAAGUUUUGUGUAUGGAAGCAUUGUAUUUCACAGCCAGCUAUCUAAAAUUUCAAAUCGAAGUUACAAAUUGGUGGGUAUGACUAUUUAUCAGAUUCUGUAUUUGGAGUUUUAAAAUAUUGUAUGACAGGCUAAAAUCAACUGCAAAGUAUGUGCCAUGUUCUAUAACAUGUUGUUUGCAAUAGGAACAUAUUAGAAAAACUUGCAUCUAAUUGUCAGAAAGGUAAAUUUUGAAUUUUUUAUGCAUUGUCGUAAUUUUGAAAUUUGGUAAAAGUUUAUGUUCAUCAUCAUCACAGCAGUAGAAACUGUAGGUGUAAACCACCUACUGGUAUACAAUUUGUUAAUGGUUUUUAGCUCAGUUGCUCAUUUGAUAAAUUAUUUUGGUUUUUUUAGUUUGGUCUGCUCAGCAUUUGUGCAAUUUCUUUUGUGUGAGGUAAGUUUUAUGAUGGAACUAAGUAUGUUUUGGCAUAAGCAACUCUUGCUUUUCUUGCAGCCAUGAACGUAAUUGUAUUACCCUUCAGUCCCUUCUACUCGUUCGCGAAUCAUUAAAUGCUUGCAUUCCCCUCUUUAAAUGCCAUGGUGCGAUAAAACUAGUUGGCGUAAUUACAAAAUAUUUCCAUUUCACCAUCCAAAUUGUAUUGAAAGCUUUAGGAUUAAAUGUAGCAGUGUUAAGAUUAUUUAAACCAGUCAGUUCCAUUUGAUCGUAUUUAUUUAUUGUAUUGUGAAUGGCAACUCUUCGUUCUACACAUCAUUUACUCGCUUGCGCAGGUCGGAAUUUAUUUAUUUAUUUCCGUUCUUUGUUUUUAAGGCUUGGCAGUGUGUCGAAGGUACUAUCACAGACUACGAAGUAAAGACCGAUGUACCCCCGAUAUCACUGUUUAGUCGAGGCCUGAUUACUUGCAGAGGACUAGUAUUGUCCUUUUUUCCCAAUAUAUUUCAUUGUAUUUGAUGUAGGUGAACUGUCAUUCAGGUUCGGUUGAUUCGUAGCUAAAGCUGGUGGUAUUCCAGUUUGCUUGUCUCCUGCGACGUCCUUGGCUAAAAUGAUUUCUCUUUUGUGUGCUAGUUUCCAGUGAGGAUAAAUUUCGCUUAUGAGGCAUAGACCUUGAUUAAAAUUUGAGCAAAGGAUUCACGGUACAGAUAAGGGUCACGUUUAAGAUCGCUAUUGUUAGCAAGAGAAUUGUUUAAUUGAAAUCUUGACUUGUAGGCAAGGAACUUAAUUACUACCCUUGGGGGUUCCUGCUCUUUUUUUACUCUUUGGAUGUAAAAGUUUUUGUUUUCCCUUACUGUUUCACAGGAAUCCCAGGAGUACUGGGCCAGUACUCAGACUCAGACAUUUACAGGAAUCCCAGUACUCAGAAAAUCGCCAGGAUGUACAUCCAUCGUAGAAAAGUGCAAUCGAAUGCUGUUUAUCGGUUCGAAAUAGUGGCAUUAGUCGUUAAAUCUAAUUUAAUAGAACUUGAAUUGAAACUUGACUUGAUUUCAAGAAACCCAAUUCAGCCAAUCAAAAGUGUGUGGUAGUCACACUUAACAAUGGCAAAGAGAUGCGUGCAUACAUUAAUGUCACAAUUUUCAAUUAUAUAAUUUUACUGUUUUCAAUUGAAUUAACACCAUGUUUCAUAUUCAAGGAAGAUAAUAUUGGGUUGGUGUGCGUCAGCCAUGUCAUAGAUCUUCCUGGUUUCAAACUCAAGUGAAAAAAUGAGGAUACUCAAGUUUUAUUCGGGAAAAUGGGGGAUCGACCUCAGGCAAAUUUCUAUUCGGUGCUUUCGGUGCUUCUAUGUUUAUGUGCGUCUAUGAUGAAGAUUACGAGUGACAAGUUAAAUUGGUGUUUUUUACGUUACCCUGUUUUGUGUUUCAAAGGACUUUUUGUCAACAAAUUUACGGUAUGUUGUUAUCUAUUCAGUAUAGCUAUCGUUGGGUAUGUAUUGAAAAGGAAACUUCCGGAAAAUUUUCGUGACAAUCUGCAAAAUUUUAAAAAUGAGCUGUAUUUUUCUAACAAUUUCAAAUACUUUUCUCGCAUGCGUUAGGGUAUAGUAGCUAUUAUUCCGGGUUUUUCUUGCUCUCAACAAUGCAGACUGAUCCUACGACCUGUGACAGUUUUACCUACAAAUGUUUGCGUUUGGUGCUGCUAGCAAGUAGCAACUAGCAGUUGAUAUUCUAGGAUGUUAUGCCUAAAAUUGAAAUUCAGCUAUCAGAGAUUAGCAAAAUUCAAGCACUUAAAAGCAAGUUUUGUACGUAUUUCAACAUUCAAAGUAAAAUAUAAUUUUGGGUUCUAGGCGGAAACUCUAGAUGGCGUUUAUGUGCGUCUAUGAUGAAGAUUACGAGUGACAAGUUAAAUUGGUGUUUUUUACGUUACCCUGUUUUGUGUUUCAAAGGACUUUUUGUCAACAAAUUUACGAUUGCUUUUUGUAUGUGGUGGUGUUUUGCCUUGUCAGCUGCUGAACCAGUAGCCUGCAUUCCUGCUAUCAAUACACCACAAGGGAUCCUGACACUUUAAGAAGGCUACUAUUCCUUAAAUGAAAGUCACCAUCCAGUUCAAGUACUGUUAAUGGACCUCAAGCCUUUUGUUUAAGCUUAGUGCUGUGUUCGCUCAUCAGUCAACCACAGAGUCUUCGUCUACUUUGUGUUGCUAACCAUCAGCCCUCAGCAUCACAGGUAUCCAGAUUUCCAAGCUUCUCUGAUUAGCCAACCAUCAUCUAUACACUUCAGCUAUGCAUUGUGGCUUCUCUUCCUCUCUUCUUAGUCUGCAAAUGUGCAACAUGGAAUAAGUUUCACAAUCAUUGCAUUACCAUGAAAAUUGUCAUUGUUAAUCCUGCUGUUCUUCUCACCAUUACUUAGCCAGCUAUCAUGGAUAUGCUUUAACAACAUCUACAUUUUUGGACUGCAAAUAUUCAUCUUCCUUCGGUACAACACUGCCGUAGUUUCGCUGCCAGUGGACCACACGCAACUACAUUUUCUUCGUCUUCCUGACGUUGUUGUCUACGCCUUUACCUCAUCGCUGUCUUCGUCUACGUUUUCGCCUCAUCACUGUUUUCGUCGACAUCUUCACCUUCAUGUCCGUCUCGUCGCCUUCAUGUCCGUCUCGUCGUCGCCUUCAUCUCCGUCUCGUCGUCGUCGCCUUCAUCUCCGUCUCGUCGUCGUCGCCUUCAUCUCCGUCUCGUCGUCGUCUUGGCCGUCUUCGCCUUUGUUUCAUCAUUAUCUUGGCCGUCUUGGUCUGCCAUCACCUGGUCGCCUUCGCCCUUCACGUAAGGAUUUCACCGUGGAUCGUCGCCCUGGUAUUGUUUUAUUUUGCAUUGUUAUGUUUAAGUUAACCCGUUGGCUGCCACCCCGUUUGCGUCCCAUUUUUUUUGUAGCUUGUAGGGACCGGCCGCAAUGGCCUUCGCCGCAAGGCGCAUUAGGCA
Molecule: long non-coding RNA, 3544 nt
Organism: Daphnia magna
Lineage: Eukaryota; Metazoa; Arthropoda; Branchiopoda; Diplostraca; Daphniidae
Exons: 7
Source: RefSeq, a predicted model, not a curated record